This 61-nucleotide unclassified non-coding RNA is filed under the name Mus musculus (house mouse). RNAcentral describes it as "Pax6 antisense RNA". The record is from RNAcentral. Lineage: Eukaryota; Metazoa; Chordata; Mammalia; Rodentia; Muridae.
GGAACUCUCGGAGGAGAGGACCCCCGUUCAGGACAAGCCUGGGGACUGGAGCAAGCUGGUA